Molecule: long non-coding RNA, 917 nt
Organism: Nilaparvata lugens (brown planthopper)
Lineage: Eukaryota; Metazoa; Arthropoda; Insecta; Hemiptera; Delphacidae
Exons: 3
Source: RefSeq, a predicted model, not a curated record
AUGCAUUUAUUUGAAUAAAUCUUGUUUAUUUUCUUUCUUCAUAUUCAAUACUGAAUCCAUCUUAUUUCUAAUUUGUGGAUAUUUUCUGUUGAUAAUGUAGGUUUUAUUUCUGUUUUUUAGGUGGGCAGAUGGUACUAGGCUGUUGGUUCCAUGGUGACUGUAGCACGAGGCGGAUGGCUCGAUCAGGUGGAGUCUUCAGUGGAUUGGCGGUACAGGUGGUUGACGGUCCGGCCUGCUCUUCAACCCGGUGGAUGGCUCUCUCAGGCUCCCUUGGCACAUAGAUGAUGUCAUAUGUUGGUGGUGCGGGCUGUUCCUCUAUGUGAUGGAUGGCGCCCUUGAGCUCCUCCUGGCGUCCGGUACUAUGCGGUUCGACUCCAAGCUGGUUAUCCUGGGAGAAUGUCUAUGAAGGAUGACGGGAUAGCUGCGCGAUGCAUGAGUAUAUGCGUAGAUGUCUCCUGAGCUUGGGCACAGGGAUUGGCGGUACUGGGUCCUGAGAUGUCUGUGCGCGGCUGCUCCUCCUGCAUGGCAGCUUCCGUCCCGGAGACCACUGGCAUAAUCCUUAGCAGGAGACAACUAUCCUCCACCUGUGUAGAUGAAAGGUCAUCUAAUAUGUGGGGCUGGAAAUCGGCAGCUGUGAUGCCAGAUGCAGAGGGUGGGGGAUGGUCGGGCGAGGUAUCUUCAGCAUUGGAUAGAGUUGGAUGAAUUGAAAUGUUGUCUGCCAUGAUGUGAUGGAUUAUGCAACAGUGUGAUACAGUGAAGAAACGCAAAUAUUCAAAUGAUGUUCAGUGAUUCUAUUCUCACUAGCCCGCAAUAUAUGCUUGAUUGAAUUUUCUUCCCUCUUUGUGCUUUAAAAAAGGUUUGAAAAUGCAGUAAAUGAAUUUAAUCCUUCUUUCCGUAAACCUUUAUAAACUGCUUUG